Juglans microcarpa x Juglans regia is the source of this 178-nucleotide long non-coding RNA. RefSeq lists it as uncharacterized. The transcript is spliced from 2 exons. The record is from RefSeq and is a predicted model, not a curated record. NCBI's taxonomy places the organism in Eukaryota, Viridiplantae, Streptophyta, Magnoliopsida, Fagales, Juglandaceae.
UUGGAAAGUUUCCAAAUUUAUCCAGUCAACUCUCCCUGGAUUAUAGGAGAAAUUUCUGUAAUUAUGUAAAUAUUCUUAGGAGAUAUUCUAGGAGAUUUGUUAGCAAUUCUUAUCCUUGUAGUCUAUAAGACAUACGGAUUGUACCUUAUUUUAAAAAAUAAGAAAUACCAUUCCAAUU